Small nucleolar RNA from Otolemur garnettii (small-eared galago), 130 nucleotides. The record is from Ensembl. Lineage: Eukaryota; Metazoa; Chordata; Mammalia; Primates; Galagidae.
GUGGCCCUGACUGAGCAGUUAUUCUGUAGCUGUUGGUUUCAAACAGAGGCCUCAAGGACUGUCUCCUAUGGUCUGUCCCCUGUUCUAGAAUCUCAGUGGAGAACAGCUAUUUCAUGUGGAAGAAACAACC